UGGGGAAUAUUGGACAAUGGGCGCAAGCCUGAUCCAGCCAUGCCGCGUGGGUGAAGAAGGCCUUAGGGUUGUAAAGCCCUUUCGCACGCGAAGAUGAUGACGGUACCCGCAGAAGAAGCCCCGGCUAACUCCGUGCCAGCAGCCGCGGUAAUACGGAGGGGGCUAGCGUUGUUCGGAAUUACUGGGCGUAAAGGGCGCGUAGGCGGUCUGUCGCGUUGGGCGUGAAAGCCCUGGGCUCAACCCGGGAGGUGCGCUCGAUACCGGCAGGCUGGAGACCGGGAGAGGAGAGUGGAAUUCCCAGUGUAGAGGUGAAAUUCGUAGAUAUUGGGAAGAACACCGGUGGCGAAGGCGGCUCUCUGGCCCGGUUCUGACGCUGAGGCGCGAAAGCGUGGGGAGCAAACAGGAUUAGAUACCCCUGUAGUCC
RNAcentral lists this ribosomal RNA (424 nucleotides) under uncultured bacterium. RNAcentral describes it as "bacterial SSU rRNA". It matches the Rfam family "Bacterial small subunit ribosomal RNA", at positions 355 to 796 of the family's 1533-position model. The record is from RNAcentral.